AUGUAUAGCAAUAGCUAAUUGCACCAGUUCAUAACUGGUGCAAUAUCGACUCUGUCGAAUAAAAUUCUAGGUAGAAUUAUGAUAAUGACAUUGUCUGCCUAUAUGUCUUGACCAAAUUACGUGCCAGCAGUCGCGGUAAUACGUAGAAGACUAGUGUUAUUCAUCUUUAGUAGGUUUAAAGGGUACCUAGACGGUAAACCAAGCCUUAAUAGGGACUAGUUUGCUAGAGUUACUUGUGAGGGGGCAUAAAAGUACUAACGGUGUAGAGAUGAAAUUCUGUCAUACCUUUUUUCGAGGGAAUAGCAACGGCACUUAUAUAGGCGAAAGCAUCCCCUUAUGUGAUAACUGACGUUGAGGGACGAAGGCUUUGUGUAGCGAACAGGAUUAGAUACCCUGGUAGUCGAAGCAGAAAAUGAUGAGUGUCAUAGAUUAGGUAAUACUUUAUUCUAUAAAUGAAAGUGUAAGCACUCCACCUCAAGAGUAAUUUGGCAACAUUGGAACUGAAAUCAUUAGACCGUUUCUGAAACCAGUAGUGAAGUAUGUUGUUUAAUUUGAUAUCCCGCAAAGAACCUUACCACAACUUGAAUGUUUAUAUUAUAUAUAAAUACAAGCGUUGCACGGCUGUCUUCAGUUAAUGUCGCGAGAUUAUGGUUAGCUCCAUUAAAUUAACGUAAACCCUUACUUUAUUUGUACAU
This 695-nucleotide ribosomal RNA is filed under the name Micarea sp. Its description in RNAcentral is "SSU rRNA". It matches the Rfam family "Bacterial small subunit ribosomal RNA", at positions 365 to 1122 of the family's 1533-position model. The record is from RNAcentral. Lineage: Eukaryota; Fungi; Ascomycota; Lecanoromycetes; Lecanorales; Micareaceae.